UUGCUCAAUUUUGCAGCACACAUACUAAAAUUGAAAUGAUAUAGAGAAGAUUAGCAUAGCCCCUGCUCAAGGAUGACAAUCAAAUUGGUGAAGCAUUCCACAUUAUU
This is a small nuclear RNA of Apodemus sylvaticus (European woodmouse), 107 nucleotides long. The record is from RefSeq and is a predicted model, not a curated record. NCBI's taxonomy places the organism in Eukaryota, Metazoa, Chordata, Mammalia, Rodentia, Muridae.